GAUGAACGCUGGCGGCGUGCCUAAUACAUGCAAGUCGAGCGAACAGACGAGGAGCUUGCUCCUCUGACGUUAGCGGCGGACGGGUGAGUAACACGUGGAUAACCUACCUAUAAGACUGGGAUAACUUCGGGAAACCGGAGCUAAUACCGGAUAAUAUAUUGAACCGCAUGGUUCAAUAGUGAAAGACGGUUUUGCUGGCACUUAUAGAUGGAUCCGGGCCGCAUGAGCUAGUUGGUAAGGUAAGGGCUUACCAAGGCAACGAUGCGUAGCCGACCUGAGAGGGUGAUCGGCCACACUGGAACUGAGACACGGUCCAGACUCCUACGGGAGGCAGCAGUAGGGAAUCUUCCGCAAUGGGCGAAAGCCUGACGGAGCAACGCCGCGUGAGUGAUGAAGGUCUUCGGAUCGUAAAACUCUGUUAUUAGGGAAGAACAAAUGUGUAAGUAACUAUGCACGUCUUGACGGUACCUAAUCAGAAAGCCACGGCUAACUACGUG
RNAcentral lists this ribosomal RNA (497 nucleotides) under uncultured bacterium. Its description in RNAcentral is "partial 16S ribosomal RNA". It matches the Rfam family "Bacterial small subunit ribosomal RNA", at positions 28 to 507 of the family's 1533-position model. The record is from RNAcentral.